This 2022-nucleotide long non-coding RNA is filed under the name Mus musculus (house mouse). Its description in RNAcentral is "long non-coding RNA chr10:102114442-102116464". Lineage: Eukaryota; Metazoa; Chordata; Mammalia; Rodentia; Muridae. The record is from RNAcentral.
AUGCUCCUUCUUAGAGAGUAAGCAUUUACAAUUUGAGAACAUAGCUACAUACUGUAUAUGUCAGUUUAGAGGGCCUAAUAGAAUAUCAUAGUUACUAAAAAAUGCUGCCAUGGUAUGAGCAGGCAUUACUUGAGAUUAUUCCUGAAAAUAAAUGCAAGUCUUAAGUGAAUUUAAAUUGAUUUUGAUUAAAAAAACUGUCAUUUUCAAUUUGCUUAAUAAUCUUACAAGUUAACAUUGGCUGGUAUGUCACUGAAAUUAUAAAAGAAGUUAACAAAGAAUGAAUCCUAAUGUCGCUGUCCUGCUUUUCACUUAGCUGCCAAACACAUAAUCAACAGGAUGCCAUUAAAAUUGCAAGUGUAUUUUAAAGAAUUCCAUGCAGUUUAUGCUAGAAUUCAACACUUUUUAUACUAAUGAAAUUUAAAAUUUCACUUUAUCUUAGACAUGAGAAGUAAGACUGCCAGUAUCUUGAACAUAUAUUCAUGUCUAAGGUUUUAAACUGUUGCCUAAAGGGACCUAAAAUAGCAUUGUUUAAAAAUUUAGCUAAGACCUCAAUGCUAUGGAUUCAACCUAUAGCAUUGCUAUGGCAUGGAUUGAUAGUUUCAUAAUGGUAUAAUUUUUUAUAUAUAUACUUAGGCCAUGGGAUGCACAUAAAACUGAUGCUUAUACAAAUUCAGUGAAAUACGGAAAGCAGAGUAGAUUGCUACACAAUCAUUUAUUAUUUUACAUCUAAAUUGCACAAUAAUGCUUUUCAAUGACAGGGUGUUGGUGGUGUGUGUGUACUGGCUUGUUAGUUUCAUGUCAAUGUGACACAAGCUAGAGGCAUUUGAGAGGAGGGAACCUCAAUUGAGAAAAGGCCUCCAUAAAAUUAGACUACAGAAAGUCUAUAGUACAUUUACUGAAGUAGUGAUUGAUAAAGGCCUAGCUAAGUGUGGGUUGAGUCAAAACUGGCCUGGACCACCUGAGUUCUGUAAUAAAUUAGGCUGAGGAAGCCAUGAGAUACAAGUUAGUAAGCAGAAUCCCUAAGUGGCCUCUGCAUCAGGUCCUGCCUUCUGGUUCCAGCACUGCUUGACUUGCUGUCCUGAUGAACUAUAAUAUGGAAAAGUGGGCCAAAUAAACCCUUUCAUCUCCUAUCUGAAUCUGGUCAGGUAGCUCCAUCACAGCAACAGUAAACCAGACUAAGACAAGGCAUGUAUGAGAAAUACAAAGUCACUCAGUUAUUAGUUAUUAGGUAAAAUAAUAGUUCAGAUUUGUCCAAAACAUAAUGUAACCACUUGUAUUGUUUUUAUUUACAAAUGUUACCUUUUGGUGGAAUUCACUGAUUAUUUUUAAUACCAAUUUCAUUUUUUUCUUAAUUUUUCUUAAUUUUGAUUUUAAUAAUAUGUAUCUUAAUAUGAAGACAUAAAAUUUGGGUAUAUUAAUGAGACAGUAUAUGAUUUUUUAAAAUAAUUUUAUUGUUUCUUUGAAUUGAUGUAUUUUUAAAGCCAAUGUGGUUAUUAUUUUAAUAGCUUCCUAAGUCUAAGCAAUGUUGUGGGAAAUAAGGAAGCACAGGCCUGUGUAGUUUGUAAACUAAGAAGAACAAAAUAUAAAUUAUAAUUGAUGUUUGAUUGAGAAGUAGCAUGCAUGAAUGGACAAUACAUCUUUCAAAAGACAUGGAUUAUUUAAAGAAAAUACAAAUGCUAGUACACACAGCAUAUUCUUUGAUGAAAUAUUGGUAAAAGAGGACUCAGAGGUACUCAAAUCAACAUAGAUUAUUUCCAUUUUUCUUGGUUGCCCAUUGUAACUAGAUGAUAAAACGCCUACUGCUAAAUAUUCUGCCUAUGUAGGUUCCUAAUGUUUUUGUUUUUGUUUUUUUUUUAAUAAUAUAAUGACGAUAUCUUAAUGGGUAGGAGAAGACAAUCAGCGUCUGCUAUAAUUUGUUUUUAAGAGUAAACAAUAUGUUUUUCCUUCAGAAAGCUCUUUUCUUGAUGACUUGCAGGGUAAUGUGAAGCUUCUGUCAAUUCCUAAAAUCAAAAGAGAAAUACU